Carassius auratus (goldfish) is the source of this 1010-nucleotide non-coding RNA. The record is from the annotation of a RefSeq genome assembly. Lineage: Eukaryota; Metazoa; Chordata; Actinopteri; Cypriniformes; Cyprinidae.
AAAAAGUGAGAAGAAUGGCUCAGUAACGAAUAUAGUGCCACGAGCAUUUUGCAAAUCAAAGCCGAAGAGUGGAAGAAAUCAGAGAGCAAAGUUAAGUGUAAGUUCGUGCACAAGGCGGGAAAUGAAGAAAUAGAGCCGAAUAUGCAGCUCCUAUUCAAGAUUGCAGCGAUAUUGAUGUUCAAAUAGUGCCUCCCUCCCUUGAAGCCAUGCUGAAAAAUAGAACAGGAGUGCUGAAGUGCAAAGCUUUAGCAGAAAAUACAGGAUUUGCCAAAAUAACAAUAACAGCUGAUAAGAACAACAUCGCCGAGACAGAAGUAAAGGGCACCUACAAAUAUGUGGAACUUGAUGCCCCAAUAGGCUAUGAAGAAUGGAGCAACGGCACUGAAUUUACCUGCACCGUUGAGCACAACGAGCUAGCAGCUCCCAAGUCGACCAAGUUCGUCAGAGAAAAUGGUAAAAACCCCAAGAAACCCACUGUUUUCGUAUUAGCACCCCCAGAGCACAAGCCGGGUGAACCGAUGACCCUGACAUGUUAUGUGAAGGACUUCUACCCCAAAGAGGUGUUUGUGUCUUGGCUUGCUGAUGAUGAACCUGUGACUUCUAAAUACAGCACUAGCCUGCCAAUUCAGAAAGAUCAAACCUUCUCAGUCUACAGUCAGCUAACAGUUAAUGAUUCCAAGUGGAAGAAUGGUACAGUGUUCAGUUGUGUCGUGUAUCACGAAGGCAUUGAUGAAAAAAUGCGCGUACUGACGAGAUCUAUUAUUGAUAACAUUGAUAAGGCAGGUGUAAUUAAUCUAAGUAUGAAUACCCCUGCAUCUUGCAUGCCCUAAAGCAUUGUGUAUGUGAUGUCUUCCUGUUAUGCCUGUUAAGUGUUUUCUUUUUGUUUUUGAGUUGCAUGUCCAUAUUUGUAAUUGUGUUGGUCUUUAAUGUUUGUUGCUUCUUGCUUCUUUGAGAUACUUUCUUGCAUAUUACAUUUAGGAAAAUACUAAUAAAAAAGAAACAAAGCAUAA